GGAGAGGUGACAGAGUGGCCGAUUGUGCCGGUCUCGAAAACCGGUGUGCCUUUACGGGUACCGCGAGUUCGAAUCUCGCCCUCUCCG
Molecule: transfer RNA, 87 nt
Filed under: Planctomycetaceae bacterium
Lineage: Bacteria; Pseudomonadati; Planctomycetota; Planctomycetia; Planctomycetales; Planctomycetaceae
Also listed under: 1 other name
Description: tRNA-Ser
Rfam family: tRNA
About the family: Transfer RNA (tRNA) molecules are approximately 80 nucleotides in length.
Source: RNAcentral